GUGCCCAUUCACCAAUUAUCUGUAAUUCUCUUUUUCCUUUCCUUGCCCUACUGUAACUAAAAGCAUCCUCAGGUGCAAACACCCUGACUGCAGAUGACCAUGGACCUGUAGCUGACCAAACACAGCAGGAACCAGCAGAGUGUGUGAGCCUUGCCUCUGAGGAGACCAACCCGGGCGAGCAGCUGCCGGGAGAGGAGACUUCGGCCACGACCCGGAGCGUGGAGGGGAAGACAGAGUCGGUCAGUAGAAGGGAGGAGCCAGAGGGCACCGAGCCCCUGCCUGCAGGAGAGGAGGAGAGCUCUGAGCUGCCCUCUGUGUGGCGAGAGGAGAGCACGGGGCCUUCACCGCCAGCGCCAGGACAAGAUGCUGGGGCACCAUCUCCAGAACCAGCAGAGGACAGUGGGCUGGUAGAGGGCAGUGACAGCUCUGUAGAGGAAGUCAUCAAGAAAGUACAUAUUACUGAAGAGGACCACCUCAUUGAGGGUGAGACGGGAGAACAGGUGGAAACUGAGCUGCUCAGUGAGACAGUAAGUGAAGGGCCUGAAACAAAAGAAGAAGAAACAGGAGAAGCUGUGGAUAGUGCAGCAGCGACAGAGAUAGGAUUUACUGUCCGUGAAGUGCCUGCCUCUAUGUCAAAUCUGACUGGAAGGAUGUAGUGAUUUCAAAAGUUGUUAAAAGGCAGCAGAGACAGCUAAUAACAAGGAAUAGAAGUUGUGUCUCAAUGAACAUCCUCUUCUUGGGCCUGCUCUUUUGUUCACAUGAAUAUUUAUAAAUCUAAUUGGGUUAGGAAAAUAUAAAGGCUUUUAUGGAUUGAACCACAAGCUACAGACACAUGAAUAGGAGGCAUUGGAAAAAGUUUUAUAUAAUACAGAUUUUUUGAAGUCAAGCAGCCAAGACCUUGAGUGUCUUUGAAAUAUCCAAACUUUCAUCUCCCUGCCAGAGUGCCUUCUUUACAUACCAGGAUAAUUUUUCAACAGCAGUAUGAUCAUUCCUUUUUCAAUUAGGAUUUUUUCCCAGAUUCAGAUUAACAGGCUUCAAACUGUUGAAACCUCCAACCAACAUUACAUAGAAUGAGGAAUAGAGUGUAGCUUUUUUCUCUUCAAUUAUUGUAUGUAGGCGGGUUUUCUGAGUGUCUGGACUACCAGUGUAGGGAGCUGCUGAAGUGUACAGCUCCUAGAGGACUGGGAGAGGAAAUUUACCAAGCUCUAACUCAAUGCAGAGGGGAGUUUUCCAGAAAAUAGGACAUAACAGAGUGCAGUGUCCAGGACCCAGAUGUGUGCUGCUCACUCCCCAUUUUAAAACUCAAAUUUAUUGAAGGGAUUGUAGUACAAUACAUGGGGCAUUUUUAACUGAGUGGGAGGUUUUAGUUGUAUAAAUCCUAGAAGAGAACUUCACAGCUGUUAACAUUCAUGGCCAAUAAUAACUUGUCUUUAGCUGUGAAGCUCUUCUCAUAUGCAUUUGUGGCUUCUAAAAUGGACUUCUAAGAGAGAAAAUACAAACCUGUCUAAGAGACAAAUAUAAGCCUGUUCCCAAAUAAAAGGUUAUCUAUUAUAUUUCCCUGGAGUGUU
Long non-coding RNA from Chloebia gouldiae (Gouldian finch), 1568 nucleotides. Lineage: Eukaryota; Metazoa; Chordata; Aves; Passeriformes; Passeridae. The record is from Ensembl.